Callithrix jacchus (white-tufted-ear marmoset) is the source of this 692-nucleotide non-coding RNA. The record is from RefSeq and is a predicted model, not a curated record. NCBI's taxonomy places the organism in Eukaryota, Metazoa, Chordata, Mammalia, Primates, Cebidae.
AUGCGAUUUAUUUCAGCACCAAGUCUCGGGACAGUGCCUCUCGGGGGGGCGGUCUGAGAAGAAAACAGCAACCUGUUUCAGCACCGGGGCUCAGGACAGCUCCCAGCGGGCUCCGUUUCGGCGCCAGGACCCUGGACAGCUCCUCCAGACUUCCGUGAGAAACCUUGUGCCGAGCGUUUUACAUACAUCAUAUCAUGCCAUCUUCAACCCUAGGAUAUGGGUGGGAGGUGGGCCCUUGGAGAUCAGACCCUGCCUCUCUCCAGGAGAACCGGGAACGGAAAACAGGGAGGCAGCACAGAGGCAGGAAGCCCACAUGUCACAGCUUGGCUCAGCUCGGAAUGCACUCCCCCACCUCCACCCAGAGACCCCCUGCAACUGGGCCUGUCUUCUUCUGCAAGCUCCAUUUCGUCAAGGGAAACGAUCCUGACUGCCUCGCCAUUUCCCAUGUGAAGUCCGUAUUGACAUUCUCGGAGACCUGGAAUAUUGUGUCUCCAGCACACAGUCCAAUUAUUUUCAAGUUAUCUAGUGACAUGUCUAUUUGUCUCCCUGUUACACCGUGAGCUCCAUGAGGGCAGAAACAAUGUUAGUAUUUUGACGGCUACAUCCCCAGUGCCCAGUCCAGGGCCCAGCACACCACAGGCAUACAAUAAGCAUGCGUUGAAUCAAUAAAGCCACCAAAGAAUAAACCAAUA